RNAcentral lists this ribosomal RNA (448 nucleotides) under uncultured bacterium. RNAcentral's name for it is "bacterial SSU rRNA". It matches the Rfam family "Bacterial small subunit ribosomal RNA", at positions 329 to 794 of the family's 1533-position model. The record is from RNAcentral.
GCCCAGACUCCUACGGGAGGCAGCAGUGGGGAAUAUUGCGCAAUGGGGGAAACCCUGACGCAGCAACGCCGCGUGAGUGAAGAAGUAUCUCGGUAUGUAAAGCUCUAUCAGCAGGGAAGAAAAUGACGGUACCUGAGUAAGAAGCCCCGGCUAACUACGUGCCAGCAGCCGCGGUAAUACGUAGGGGGCAAGCGUUAUCCGGAUUUACUGGGUGUAAAGGGAGCGUAGACGGCAGUGCAAGUCUGGAGUGAAAGGCGGGGGCUCAACCCCCGGACUGCUCUGGAAACUGUACGGCUGGAGUGCAGGAGAGGUAAGUGGAAUUCCUAGUGUAGCGGUGAAAUGCGUAGAUAUUAGGAGGAACACCAGUGGCGAAGGCGGCUUACCGGACUGUAACUGACGUUGAGGCUCGAAAGCGUGGGGAGCAAACAGGAUUAGAUACCCCAGUAAA